AGAGUUUGAUCAUGGCUCAGAACGAACGCUGGCGGCGCGUCUUAAACAUGCAAGUCGAAACGAUCUGUAGCAAUACAGGGAGUGGCGGACGGGUGAGGAACACGUAGGAAUCUACCUUGAAGAGCGGGACAACUUUGGGAAACCGGGGCUAAUACCGCAUAGUACAGAGAUGUUAAAGGGCUAGCAAUAGUCGCUUCGAGAUGAGCCUGCGGUCUAUCAGCUUGUUGGUGAGGUAAUGGCUCACCAAGGCUACGACGGAUAGCCGGUCUGAGAGGAUGAUCGGCCACACUGGCACUGAGACACGGGCCAGACUCCUACGGGAGGCAGCAGUUAAGAAUCUUGGGCAAUGGGGGAAACCCUGACGCAGCGACGCCGCGUGAAGGAUGAAGGCUUCGGUUGUAAACUUCGGUAGACUGGGAAGAAGAAAUACGUUCGUUGAGGGCGUAUAGUGACGGUACCAGUCUGAAGCCCCGGCUAAUUACGUG
Molecule: ribosomal RNA, 485 nt
Filed under: uncultured bacterium
Lineage: Bacteria
Description: bacterial SSU rRNA
Rfam family: Bacterial small subunit ribosomal RNA
Source: RNAcentral